GAUUCGGCCAAUUGGUCCAUCUUUUAGAUGAGUACUGGUUGUGUUGGGUCUAUCCGCCUGGUGAUACGUAAUGUCCUUUAUUGGGUGUUGCGGGUAGUCAGGACCUUUACCUUGAAAAAAUUAGAGUGUUUAAAGCAGGCUUAUGCCGGAAUACAUUAGCAUGGAAUAAUAGAAUAGGACGAAGUUGUUUUAUUUUGUUGGUUUCUAGGACAACCGUA
Molecule: ribosomal RNA, 218 nt
Filed under: uncultured Glomeromycotina
Lineage: Eukaryota; Fungi; Glomeromycota
Description: partial small subunit ribosomal RNA
Rfam family: Eukaryotic small subunit ribosomal RNA (bases 88-218)
Source: RNAcentral